This 425-nucleotide ribosomal RNA is filed under the name uncultured prokaryote. RNAcentral's name for it is "bacterial SSU rRNA". It matches the Rfam family "Bacterial small subunit ribosomal RNA", at positions 355 to 796 of the family's 1533-position model. The record is from RNAcentral.
UCGAGAAUCUUCGGCAAUGGGCGCAAGCCUGACCGAGCGACGCCGCGUGCAGGAAGAAGGCCUUCGGGUUGUAAACUGCUGUCAGUGGGGAGUAAUCACUGAACUAUCCACAGAGGAAGCACGGGCUAAGUUCGUGCCAGCAGCCGCGGUAAGACGAACCGUGCGAACGUUGUUCGGAAUCACUGGGCUUAAAGGGCGCGUAGGCGGGCGGUCAAGUCGGAGGUGAAAUCCCCCAGCUCAACUGGGGAAGUGCCCCCGAUACUGAUUGUCUCGAGGAAGGUAGGGGCACGUGGAACUUCCGGUGGAGCGGUGAAAUGCGUAGAGAUCGGAAGGAACACCGGUGGCGAAGGCGACGUGCUGGACCUUUUCUGACGCUGAGGCGCGAAAGCCAGGGUAGCGAAGAGGAUUAGAUACCCCCGUAGUCC